CGCGUGCCCAGGGAGCAGUCCUCAGAGAUCGUCUGGUUAAAGGCUGAGACCCUCGCCACCAGAGGAUAGGAGGGUAGCCCAGUGAUGCGGCGGGAGACUUUAGGUGGCUCGUGCCUCGCUGGCCUCCAGCCUAUGAACACCCACCCACCACGCGUCCCCAGCACCGCAGGGAAGCCAUCGGACGCGUUAACCUUUCCGUGGCCAUUUCAAGCGAGGCGAGGGGCCAAGCGUCUACAACUCUUGUCUUCCCUGCACCUGGUAGGCGUGUCACUCUCCAGCAGCGGGGCGUGCCCUGCGCGUGCCUUCUCUCUUCUCCACGCCCCCACCCCCAGCCCCGGCUCGUGCUAGCCGGGACUAGAGGUCCGAAGGGGAGGUAGGGGGCGUGGUUCUCCAAGUAGGGGUGGGGGUGCGCCCUCAGCUGUAUGAUAAUGAAGUCCUGGCCUCUCCCUCAGUGCCUACCUCACCUGGGUCACGCUUGGGCUCCGUCGCCUAUCCCGGCCCCGACCCGUGUCCCCUAGCUCCACUGGGGUUAGGGAGGAACUGUCCUAACUCCGGAGUUUCCACGGGCCACUAGAGACGCCAGAUAGUCAAGGACCAAACAAAAGUUGGGAUCACUGUUUUCCUCAGCAUGGACAAUGUGAGCCAUCCAACCUAGAAGACUUCUGACCCAGACAGGAAAGCGUUACGUUUUCCUCUUCACCAGAGAACCUAUUCAUAAUGUGCCCGCGGUUCUUCCCUGGCCAGGGCACCGCUCUUAGCCUCGGGCCCCAUCGGCUGGGGUCAGUUGCUAGGUCUGAAUGUGUAGGGGAUGGUUCUCCAGCACAGUUGGAGCCCUUCUCUCCCACUCCCUCGUUAUGAGCAAAAAACGCGACUCAGGUGGAAGAAAGGCAACACUGUCCUGGUCACUCGAGGGAACGAAAGACCGUGAGGCAGAGGAUGCAGUGGACCUCGUUUCUAGUCAGGGCCUGCUGACUCUGACCCUGAUAUAGACACUCCGACAUGAGUCCCCAUAAACUGAAGCCCUUUCUUGGGUCCACAGCUCCUCAACUCCACACCAUCCUCAACGUUUCCCAGCUCAGAGUCUGAGUACUGGAAGCCUGUGAAAGCCUUUCUCCCUAGAAGGUCUCUGCCUCUGCUGUUGCCUCCUCCUGGCCACUGUGCAUGCAUGCCACUUCUCAGUUUCUCCAAUUAUGCAGAACCAACCCCUGGAACUGAAAAAAAAAAAAGCCAAAGUUUUUUCA
Long non-coding RNA from Mesocricetus auratus (golden hamster), 1241 nucleotides. RefSeq lists it as uncharacterized. The transcript has 3 exons. Lineage: Eukaryota; Metazoa; Chordata; Mammalia; Rodentia; Cricetidae. The record is from RefSeq and is a predicted model, not a curated record.